Molecule: non-coding RNA, 77 nt
Organism: Podarcis lilfordi (Lilford's wall lizard)
Lineage: Eukaryota; Metazoa; Chordata; Lepidosauria; Squamata; Lacertidae
Source: the annotation of a GenBank genome assembly
CGAGAUAGAUCAGUUGGUAGAGUAGGAGGCUCUUAAUCUCAGGGUUGUGGGUUCAAGCCCCACCUAAUGGGGAAAGA